Molecule: ribosomal RNA, 465 nt
Filed under: Vreelandella stevensii
Lineage: Bacteria; Pseudomonadati; Pseudomonadota; Gammaproteobacteria; Oceanospirillales; Halomonadaceae
Description: partial 16S ribosomal RNA
Rfam family: Bacterial small subunit ribosomal RNA
Source: RNAcentral
CCUACGGGUGGCUGCAGUGGGGAAUAUUGGACAAUGGGGGCAACCCUGAUCCAGCCAUGCCGCGUGUGUGAAGAAGGCCCUCGGGUUGUAAAGCACUUUCAGUGAGGAAGAACGCCUGGUGGUUAAUACCCAUCAGGAAAGACAUCACUCACAGAAGAAGCACCGGCUAACUCCGUGCCAGCAGCCGCGGUAAUACGGAGGGUGCGAGCGUUAAUCGGAAUUACUGGGCGUAAAGCGCGCGUAGGUGGCUUGAUAAGCCGGUUGUGAAAGCCCCGGGCUCAACCUGGGAACGGCAUCCGGAACUGUCAAGCUAGAGUGCAGGAGAGGAAGGUAGAAUUCCCGGUGUAGCGGUGAAAUGCGUAGAGAUCGGGAGGAAUACCAGUGGCGAAGGCGGCCUUCUGGACUGACACUGACUCUGAGGUGCGAAAGCGUGGGUAGCAAACAGGAUUAGAUACCCCUGUAGUC